AGCGGCAACAGCUCAAAUUUGAAAUCUGGCCCUCGCGGUCCGUGUUGUAAUUUGUAGUAGGAUGCUUUUGGUGCGGUGCCUUCCGAGUUCCCUGGAACGGGACGCCAGAGAGGGUGAGAGCCCCGUACGGUUGGACACCUACCCUAUACAUAGCUCCUUCGACGAGUCGAGUAGUUUGGGAAUGCUGCUCUAAAUGGGAGGUAAAUUUCUUCUAAAGCUAAAUACCGGCCAGAGACCGAUAGCGCACAAGUAGAGUGAUCGAAAGAUGAAAAGCACUUUGAAAAGAGGGUUAAAUAGCACGUGAAAUUGUUGAAAGGGAAGCGUUUGCGACCAGACUUUUUCCAGGCGGAUCAUCCGGUGUUCUCACCGGUGCACUUCGCCUGGUUUAGGCCAGCAUCGGUUCUCUUAGGGGGAUAAAGGCUCGGGGAACGUAGCUCCUUCGGGAGUGUUAUAGCCCCUUGCGUAAUACCCUUCGGGGGACCGAGGAUCGCGCUCUGCAAGGAUGCUGGCGUAAUGGUCGUCAACGACCCGUCUUGAAACACGGACCAAGGAGUCGAACAUUUGUGCGAGUGUCUGGGUGUUAAACCCUCACGCGUAAUGAAAGUGAACGGAGGUGAGAGCCCUUGCGGGUGCAUCAUCGACCGAUCCUGAUGUCUUCGGAUGGAUUUGAGUAAGAGCAUAACUGCUCGGACCCGAAAGAUGGUGAACUAUGCGUGGAUAGGGUG
Molecule: ribosomal RNA, 725 nt
Filed under: Hypoxylon ticinense
Lineage: Eukaryota; Fungi; Ascomycota; Sordariomycetes; Xylariales; Hypoxylaceae
Description: LSU rRNA
Rfam family: Eukaryotic large subunit ribosomal RNA
Source: RNAcentral